GUUUUUCUGGUGUAUCAUGGUGUCACCAUGCAGAGCUCAUCAUCACAGGUGACCAUGAAGUCCCAGAAUUGCCGAAGAGCUCCAGCAUGGACCAAACGGGAGGUACGGGAUCUGAUUGCUGUAUGGGGAGAUGAAUCCGUGCUGGCAGAACUCCGUUUGAAAAGACGAAAUGCCAAAAUAUUUGAAAAAAUCUCCAA
Molecule: long non-coding RNA, 197 nt
Organism: Chelonia mydas (Green sea turtle)
Lineage: Eukaryota; Metazoa; Chordata; Testudines; Cheloniidae
Exons: 4
Source: RefSeq, a predicted model, not a curated record